GAUGAACGCUGGCGGCGUGCCUAAUACAUGCAAGUCAAGCGAACAGACGAGGAGCUUGCUCCUCUGACGUUAGCGGCGGACGGGUGAGUAACACGUGGAUAACCUACCUAUAAGACUGGGAUAACUUCGGGAAACCGGAGCUAAUACCGGAUAAUAUAUUGAACCGCAUGGUUCAAUAGUGAAAGACGGUUUUGCUGUCACUUAUAGAUGGAUCCGCGCCGCAUUAGCUAGUUGGUAAGGUAACGGCUUACCAAGGCAACGAUGCGUAGCCGACCUGAGAGGGUGAUCGGCCACACUGGAACUGAGACACGGUCCAGACUCCUACGGGAGGCAGCAGUAGGGAAUCUUCCGCAAAGGGCGAAAGCCUGACGGAGCAACGCCGCGUGAGUGAUGAAGGUCUUCGGAUCGUAAAACUCUGUUAUUAGGGAAGAACAAAUGUGUAAGUAACUAUGCACGUCUUGACGGUACCUAAUCAGAAAGCCACGGCUAACUACGUG
RNAcentral lists this ribosomal RNA (497 nucleotides) under uncultured bacterium. Its description in RNAcentral is "partial 16S ribosomal RNA". It matches the Rfam family "Bacterial small subunit ribosomal RNA", at positions 28 to 507 of the family's 1533-position model. The record is from RNAcentral.